CCUACGGGCGGCAGCAGUGGGGAAUAUUGCGCAAUGGGCGAAAGCCUGAUGCAGCGACGCCGCGUGUGGGAUGAAGGCCUUCGGAUUGUAAACCACUGUCAGCAGGGAAGAACGGUCACGGUGCUAAUCAGCAGCGAAUUGACGGUACCUGCAAAGGAAGCACCGGCUAACUCCGUGCCAGCAGCCGCGGUAAUACGGAGGGUGCGAGCGUUAAUCGGAAUUACUGGGCGUAAAGCGCACGUAGGCGGUAUGUCAAGUCAAGGGUGAAAUCCCCGCGCUCAACGUGGGAACUGCAUGUGAAAGUGGCAAGCUGGAGUGUGGGAGAGGAGAGUGGAAGUCCAGGUGUAGGAGUGAAAUCCGUAGAGAUCUGGAGGAACAUCGGUGGCGAAGGCGACUAUCUGGCACAUGACUGACGCUGAGGAGCGAAAGCGUGGGUAGCAAACAGGAUUAGAUACCCGAGUAGUC
Molecule: ribosomal RNA, 465 nt
Filed under: uncultured bacterium
Lineage: Bacteria
Description: partial 16S ribosomal RNA
Rfam family: Bacterial small subunit ribosomal RNA
Source: RNAcentral